UAUCUCUGUAGAGUCUGCAUAUCAAUAAGCGGAGGAAAAGAAACUAACUAAGGAUUCCCUUAGUAACGGCGAGUGAAGCGGGAAGAGCUCAAAUUUGAAAUCUUCAAGAUUUUACCUUGACGAAUUGUAGUUUAAAGAAGUGUUUUCUGUUGAGUGUUUCGGUAAAAGUUCUUUGGAAUAGGACAUCAUAGAGGGUGAGAAUCCCGUAUUUGACCAUUAUUUCCAGCUGUGUGAUACACUUUCAAAGAGUCGGAUUGUUUGGGAAUGCAGUCCAAAAUGGGUGGUAAAUUUCAUCUAAAGCUAAAUACUGGCGAGAGACCGAUAGCGAACAAGUACCGUGAGGGAAAGAUGAAAAGAACUUUGAAAAGAGAGUUAAACAGUACGUGAAAUUGUCAAAAGGGAAGCGUUUGACACCAGUGUUGUUUUCUCGAAAAUCAAUUAAAAAAGGCAGGAUUUUGUGUUGUAUUGACUUUAUCAGCUUUCUGCACUCUUUUCUUGUCUUUUUUUAAUGCACUUUUCGUUUAACAAGUCAACAUCAAUUUCUUUUGUUGUAAAAGGGUCAUUGGAAGGUGGCUUUCUUUUCGGAGAAAGUGUUUAUAGCCUUUGGCCUCUGCAAUCGGAGAGAUUGAGGUCUGCAGCGUAGAUCCUUCGGGGUUAGAUACAUUUGUGCUAAGUUAUAGCCUUUCAUAGACAACUUGUUGACUAUGAUCAGUCAUGUAGCUUACUCGCUUAUGCUAUUUUACCUACGCUUAGGAUGUUGAUAGUCACAGCGUGUAC
Molecule: ribosomal RNA, 777 nt
Filed under: uncultured Neocallimastigales
Lineage: Eukaryota; Fungi; Neocallimastigomycota; Neocallimastigomycetes; Neocallimastigales
Description: partial large subunit ribosomal RNA
Rfam family: Eukaryotic large subunit ribosomal RNA
Source: RNAcentral